Molecule: ribosomal RNA, 435 nt
Filed under: uncultured bacterium
Lineage: Bacteria
Description: partial 16S ribosomal RNA
Rfam family: Bacterial small subunit ribosomal RNA
Source: RNAcentral
AACGAACGCUGGCGGCAGGCUUAACACAUGCAAGUCGAACGCGUGCAGCAAUGCACGAGUGGCGCACGGGUGAGUAACGCGUGGAUAUCUGCCUUUUGGUUCGGAAUAACCCCGGGAAACUGGGGCUAAUACCGGAUGGUUCCUACGGGAUAAAGAUUUAUCGCCAAAAGAUGAGUCCGCGUCCGAUUAGCUAGUUGGUGAGGUAAUGGCUCACCAAGGCGACGAUCGGUAGCUGGUCUGAGAGGACGAUCAGCCACACUGGGACUGAGACACGGCCCAGACUCCUACGGGAGGCAGCAGUGGGGAAUAUUGGACAAUGGGGGCAACCCUGAUCCAGCCAUGCCGCGUGAGUGAUGAAGGCCUUCGGGUUAUAAAGCUCUUUUGGCGGGGACGAUGAUGACGGUACCCGCAGAAUAAGCCCCGGCUAACUUCGUG